Molecule: ribosomal RNA, 2221 nt
Filed under: marine metagenome
Description: bacterial LSU rRNA
Rfam family: Bacterial large subunit ribosomal RNA
Source: RNAcentral
CCGAUCCAGGGAUUUCCGAAUGGGGAAACCCCGUCAGCAAUGACGAUCCCGCGCUGAAUUCAAUAGGCGUGAGGAAGCGAACCCGGUGAAGUGAAACAUCUCAGUAACCGGAGGAAAAGAAAGCGAAUGCGAUUCCCUCAGUAGUGGCGAACGAAAGGGGAACAGCCCAAACCAAGAGGACUUGUCCUCCUGGGGUACGGGCCUCAAUGUGAGACUGAAGAGGUUAGGCGAAGCGUUUGAAUGACGCGUCAUAGAGGGUGAGAACCCCGUAGCCAAAAACCCGAUCAGCUCUAGAGGUACCCAGAGUAGCACCGGACACGUGAAACCCGGUGUGAAAAAAACGCAGACCACUGCGUAAGGCUAAAUACACGAUGUCGACCGAUAGUGAAGAGUACCGCGAGGGAAAGGUGAAAAGCACCCCUGUUAGGGGAGUGAAAAGUACCUGAAACCUGUUGCUUACAAGCGGUCGGAGCCCCCUCGUGGGGUGACGGCGUACCUUUUGCAUAAUGGGUCUGGGAGUUAACGUAAGGAGCCAGCCUAAGGUCCCUCAGGACCGGAGGCGCAGCGAAAGCGAGUCUGAAUAGGGCGUUUAGUUCCUUGCGUUAUACCCGAAGCGGAGGUGAUCUACCCAUGACCAGGUUGAAGCCCAAGUAACAUUGGGUGGAGGACCGAACUGAUGGCACUUGAGAAUGCCCCGGAUGAGUUGUGGGUAGGAGUGAAAGGCUAAUCAAACCCCGUAAUAGCUGGUUCUCUCCGAAAUAUAUUUAGGUAUAGCGUCCAGCGCUGACCCGUGGGGGUAGAGCACUGAAAAGGCUAGGGGACACACCCGUCUACCAACCCUUAUCAAACUCCGAAUACCACGGGGCGAAGCUGGGCAGUCAGGCAGUGGGGGAUAAGCUUCAUUGCCGAGAGGAAAACAGUCCAGACCACCAAUUAAGGCCCCAAAGACGUAGCUAAGUGGAUUAAAGAAUGUGAACUUGCACAGACAAUAGGGAUGUUGGCUUAGAGGCAGCCACCAUUUAAACAGUGCGUAACAGCUGACCUAUCGAGUGAGUUUGCGUCUAAGAUGAUCGGGACUAAGCGACGCGCCGAAGUUGUGGGCUCGUCAGGGAGCGAUCCCUGGCGAGCGGUAGGAGAGCGUUCCAGCAGCGGUGAAGCGGAAGCGGUAAGCGACCGUGGAGCGGCUGGAAGUGAGUAUCCAGACAUAAGUAACGAUAAGAAUGGUUGAAAUCCAUUCCGCCGUAAGGAUAAGGUUUCCAGGGCAAGGGUCGUCCCCCCUGGGUUAGUCGGGAGCUAAGCCGAGGCCGUAAGGAGUAGGCGAUGCACAUCAGGUUAAUAUUCCUGAACCAAGUAGAGAGGACGGGAUCAUGGAGUCAGCAGACCUUAUUGACUUGGCAGUCCGAGGCUACGGCCGAGGACGCGCUGAUGAAGUGAUCUCCAGGAAAAGCCUCUACAUUAGCCCGUACCGCAAACCGACACAGGUAUCCGGGAUGAGUAUUCUAAGGCGCGUGAGUUAAACCUCCUCAAGGAACUCGACAAAUUAACCCCGUAUCUUCGGUAUAAGGGGUGCUCCGGGCAACCGGAGUCGCAGUGAAGAGGCCCUACCGACUGUUUAGCAAAAACACAGCUCUCUGCUAAGUCGCAAGACGACGUAUAGGGAGUGACGUGUGACCAAUGCGGAAAGGUGAAAGCUGGAGCUGCAAGGUUCCGGUCUAAGCCCCCGUGAAUGUCGGCCGUAACUAUAACGGUCCUAAGGUAGCGAAAUUCCUUGUCGGGUAAGUUCCGACCUGCACGAAUCACGUAACGAGUAGGGCAUUGUCUCGAGGAGGGGCUCAGUGAAAUUGUAGUCGCGGUGAAGAUGCCGCGUUCCCGCAGCAGGACGGAAAGACCCUAUAGACCUUUACUGUAACCUGGUAUUGGCGCUUGAGAUGUGAUUCGUAGAAUAGCUGGGAGACUUCGAAGUCCGACCUCAGGGUCGGAUGGAGUCGAAAUAUGAAAUACCAGUAUUCAUUUCUUAGGCUUCUAACCCAUAUUCCAUUAGCUGGAGUGGGGACAUUGCUAGGGGGUCAGUUUGACUGGGGCGGUCUCCUCCGAAAGAGUAACGGAGGAUUGUGAAGGUCAGCUCAGGCCGGUUGGUAAUCGGCCGUCGAGUGCAUGGAUAUAAGCUGGCUUAACUGCGAGACCUACAAGUCGAGCAGGUACGAAUGUAGACCCAAGUGAU